This 481-nucleotide ribosomal RNA is filed under the name uncultured bacterium. RNAcentral's name for it is "partial 16S ribosomal RNA". It matches the Rfam family "Bacterial small subunit ribosomal RNA", at positions 30 to 506 of the family's 1533-position model. The record is from RNAcentral.
AUUGAACGCUGGCGGCAUGCUUUACACAUGCAAGUCGAACGGUAACAGGCCGCCAGGUGCUGACGAGUGGCGAACGGGUGAGUAAUGCAUCGGAACGUGCCCAGUCGUGGGGGAUAACUACUCGAAAGAGUAGCUAAUACCGCAUACGAUCUAUGGAUGAAAGCGGGGGACCGUAAGGCCUCGCGCGAUUGGAGCGGCCGAUGUCAGAUUAGGUAGUUGGUGGGGUAAAGGCUCACCAAGCCAACGAUCUGUAGCUGGUCUGAGAGGACGACCAGCCACACUGGGACUGAGACACGGCCCAGACUCCUACGGGAGGCAGCAGUGGGGAAUUUUGGACAAGGGGCGCAAGCCUGAUCCAGCAAUGCCGCGUGCAGGAAGAAGGCCUUCGGGUUGUAAACUGCUUUUGUACGGAACGAAACGGCUCUGGUUAAUACCCGGGGCUAAUGACGGUACCGUAAGAAUAAGCACCGGCUAACUACGU